This 1561-nucleotide ribosomal RNA is filed under the name Castanea mollissima (Chinese chestnut). Its description in RNAcentral is "bacterial LSU rRNA". It matches the Rfam family "Bacterial large subunit ribosomal RNA", at positions 1098 to 2647 of the family's 2925-position model. The record is from RNAcentral. Lineage: Eukaryota; Viridiplantae; Streptophyta; Magnoliopsida; Fagales; Fagaceae.
AUGUUGGCUUAGAAGCAGCCAUCAUUUAAAGAAAGCGUAAUAGCUCACUGAUCGAGUCGUCCUGCGCGGAAGAUGUAACGGGGCUAAGCCAGUCACCGAAGCUGCGGAUAUUUUUCGUUGAUUUAUACGUUGAUCAUAUAUGGUAGGAGAGCGUUCUGUAAGCCUGCGAAGGUGUCUUGUAAAGGAUGCUGGAGGUAUCAGAAGUGCGAAUGCUGACAUGAGUAGCGAUAAUGGGAGUGAAAAGCUCCCACGCCGUAAGCCCAAGGUUUCCUGUUCAACGUUCAUCGGAGCAGGGUGAGUCGGCCCCUAAGGCGAGGCAGAGAUGCGUAGCUGAUGGGAAGCAGGUUAAUAUUCCUGCACCGUCGUAUGAUGCGAUGGGGGGACGGAUCGCGGAAGGUUGUCUGACUGUUGGAAUAGUCAGUUUCUGGUUCAUAGAAGGCGCUUAGGCAAAUCCGGGCGCGUAAUUCAAGGGACUGGGACGAGCGGCUUUAUGCUGCGAAGCAAUCGGAAGUGGUUCCAAGAAAAGCCUCUAAGCUUCAGUCAUACGAGACCGUACCGCAAACCGACACAGGUGGGCGAGAUGAGUAUUCUAAGGCGCUUGAGAGAACUCGGGAGAAGGAACUCGGCAAAUUGGUACCGUAACUUCGGGAAAAGGUACGCCCUUGUAGUUUGACCACUUUACUGUGGAAGGAUGAACGGGUUGCAAUAAACUGGUGGCUGCGACUGUUUAAUAAAAACACAGCACUCUGCAAACACGAAAGUGGACGUAUAGGGUGUGACGCCUGCCCGGUGCUGGAAGAUUAAAUGAUGGGGUGCAAGCUCUUGAUUGAAGUCCCAGUAAACGGCGGCCGUAACUAUAACGGUCCUAAGGUAGCGAAAUUCCUUGUCGGGUAAGUUCCGACCUGCACGAAUGGCGUAACGAUGGCCACACUGUCUCCUCCCGAGACUCAGCGAAGUUGAAAUGUUUGUGAUGAUGCAAUCUACCCGCGGCUAGACGGAAAGACCCCAUGAACCUUUACUGUAGCUUUGCAUUGGACUUUGAACCAAUCUGUGUAGGAUAGGUGGGAGGCUUUGAAGCGGGGACGCCAGUCUCGUGGAGCCAACCUUGAAAUACCACCCUGGUUUGUUUGAGGUUCUAACCUUGGUCCGUUAUCCGGAUCGGGGACAGUGCAUGGUAGGCAGUUUGACUGGGGCGGUCUCCUCCUAAAGUGUAACGGAGGAGUUCGAAGGUACGCUAAUUACGGUCGGACAUCGUGAUGAUAGUGCAAUGGCAUAAGCGUGCUUAACUGCGAGACUGACAAGUCGAGCAGGUACGAAAGUAGGACAUAGUGAUCCGGUGGUUCUGUAUGGAAGGGCCAUCGCUCAACGGAUAAAAGGUACUCUGGGGAUAACAGGCUGAUUCCUCCCAAGAGUUCAUAUCGACGGGGGAGUUUGGCACCUCGAUGUCGGCUCAUCACAUCCUGGGGCUGUAGCCGGUCCCAAGGGUAUGGCUGUUCGCCAUUUAAAGUGGUACGCGAGCUGGGUUUAGAACGUCGUGAGACAGUUUGGUCCCUAUCUGCCG